Molecule: ribosomal RNA, 185 nt
Filed under: uncultured bacterium
Lineage: Bacteria
Description: partial 16S ribosomal RNA
Rfam family: Bacterial small subunit ribosomal RNA
Source: RNAcentral
CUCCUACGGCAGGCAGCAGUGGGGAAUCUUGCACAAUGGGCGAAAGCCUGAUGCAGCGACGCCGCGUGGGGGAUGAAGCUUUUCGGAAUGUAAACCCCUUUCGACCCGGACGAAUGCCUCGCAAGAGGACUGACGGUACGGGUAUAAGAAGCCCGGCUAACUACGUGCCAGCAGCCGCGGUAAUC